CGCGAAUUUUGACCGUUAAUCCAAGCGUAAACAAAAUGAUAAAAUAAUUAAAAGCAUCAAUUAAAAUCAACUAAUCAUUAUCUCUGGGCAAUCCAAUUCAGAAAAUCAGCACUAAUUAGCUGCAAUUUUCACUUCUAUGUGACCGUAUCACCAUAGAACUACCACACUGUAAUCAUCUUCACAUGGACACUCCCAUGAACCUCCAACUAGUAUAAGCAACCCUUCUCGGUUAACUUAACUACACCCAAUACGCCCACUCUCGUAAUAACAAGAGAUUAAAAACUAGCUUAAUCAAACAUGUGUAAUACAAAAAAAAAAUGCAAAAAGAAAUAUACAAGAAAACAAAAAUAAACCUAGGCAUAAAACAUUCUGAAUGGAUAAAAACAUUUAUGAAAACUUUAAAGUUAUUUACAAACAUGAAAAUAUUGUCCACAUGACUUCUUCGGUUUGAACGUGCGGAGCCACUUCUUCGAAUCUUUCAUCAGGAACUUGUCAUUUAUAACGGUUCUUUGCCGGUUUCGGAUCGACGGAUACGCCAGUCCACUCUGUUAUUUACAUUGUACAUAUAUACAUUGUUACCAACACAAAAGUUUCGAUAUACAAGUUACUGCUAGUCUGUUGUAACAUCUCAGAGUCUUCUCAGGUUUCUAUUCAUCAAAAAUUCUCACAGGCGUUCUUCUAAUGUUCUUCAAAGUUCGAGGAUAAUGCGUUUCCAUAAAUACAAAGAAACAAAUAGGCUGACACAAAAGUUCACAAAUAUUUACAGCAAGUCACUUCAUUACAUUAUGGCAUAAACAGUCAUCCUAUUUUAAUCUCUCGUCUAAUUUGAUCAGAACUGCUCCGCUAGUCUCACUUGAAUGAAAUCGUAAAGUGUUUCUUCUUUCUGCACACGCCAUGACUUUGUAAUUCGUCCAGAUUUCAGGCACAUCAUAACUUCGGUUACUGACAUAUUGACCACGGGUACCUCCACCAGAUAUAACGGGGCUUUCUUGUGUGUGUGUUAGGAACUAUGUCAUUAUUUCGGAUCUACGUAUCCGGGAUCGUAAUCCGUGUUGCCCGUUA
Molecule: long non-coding RNA, 1062 nt
Filed under: Mytilus galloprovincialis (Mediterranean mussel)
Lineage: Eukaryota; Metazoa; Mollusca; Bivalvia; Mytilida; Mytilidae
Source: RNAcentral